This is an RNA transcript of Cryptomeria japonica (Japanese cedar), 2100 nucleotides long. It is a transcript of the gene named double-stranded RNA-binding protein 4, with no coding region annotated. Lineage: Eukaryota; Viridiplantae; Streptophyta; Pinopsida; Cupressales; Cupressaceae. The record is from RefSeq and is a predicted model, not a curated record. The transcript has 5 exons.
CCAAGGUUAGCGUAGGUUAAGUUCAGGGAAAAUUUAUUUUCUUUACUUGCAUUCAAGAAGGAAAAAUAAAAAUGAGAAGCCCAGAAAAACCAUAGGCAAUGGUACACAUGUAGCCUUGAAGUUUCUGACACUGUUAAAUAAUAAAAAAGCUGUUCAUCUUCUUAACACUUGUCACGAUAUUUGAAGCCCUGGAGUACGGUCUGCUAAAAACCGUAUUGCAACUAGUAUAUCCGGACAUUCAGGCAUGGUUCAGACAAUACAACUAGUCCCGACCAGUGAAGAGCUGAAAAUCGACAAACUUAAAAGCCACGACUAAACAACCAUCAGGCUUUGCAUUGGUGAUUUUAAGUUAACUUGGUUGCUCUGAGUGUUUGGAAUGGCGUCUUACAAAAACAAACUGCAAGUAUAUACGCAGAGGAUGCAUUGGCCAUUGCCGGUAUAUGAGAGUGUGAAUGAGGGUUUUGACCAUCUGCCAAAUUUCAAGUGUUUUGUUACUGUUAAUGGGCUGAGAUACGAAUCCAGUGGUUCUUACAGCCAUAAAAAAGUUGCAGAACAGUCCGCUGCUCAGGCUGCCAUACAGGAUUUGGCUACCAAACAUCCGGAAUAUAAGUUUGAGCAGGAUCCAUUUGGCCAAAAACAACUUACAGAACUUCUUGAAAGGAUGGGCAGAGGGCCUCCUAUAUUUUCUGUUACAAAGACGGGAGUUGCUCAUUCUCCAGAGUUUACAUCGACUGUGGAGAUUGAUGGGGCCUCCUAUGUUGGUGGUGUUGCAAAGAGUAAGAAGGAAGCUGAAACAAAGGCUGCCCUUGUAGCAAUUCGAACCAUCAAUCAACAAGUUGGUGAUCUUUGUCUCCAGCUUCAGCUUCAGGCUGACAGCAGGGUGAGCAAUGAAUUGCAACAGCCCUCUGAAGAGUGCAAGGAUAUUAAGCCUGAAUUGAAGGCAGCAACUAACAGUUGCACUCCUAGCAACGAAUUUUUAGUUGGAACCAAUUCUAAACAGUUUGAGAAUUCCUUAGAAAUGUUGAUUACGAAUAAUGAAGAUCCUGUUGAAAAGGGCCCUGGAAAGUCAAAUGCAAGUGAUGAAAAUUCAGCACCUUCAUUAAAUCCACAUAACCAACUUCAGCAAGAAACUUUUCUGAUCCAGCCAGAGCAGGAAGAGAUUAAAUUGAAGAAGGAAGGUGUGCAGGAGGUUAAUUUAAAAGAUUCUAUAAACAAGAGAAGUAGAAGUGAAUCUGAGAAUCGUGAACAGAUGAAUGGAAAGAAGAGAAAAGAAGAAAAUGAAAAGAACCAUGGGAUGAUAUCCAGCAACAUAUCUAUGGGCAACUGAUGCUAUGCUCAGUUGGGAAUUUAAGGUGUGCAAGGACUGUGUUGGGGAUUGAAAGCUGAGAAUGUGACGAAGUUGAAAGUAACUCGCAGAUCGAGGUAGAAGAUGGAGUUCAGAAUGUGGAUUUGGAGGUUGAUCAAGGACCCAAUGAAGACGCUGUUGCUUGGAAAUGAGAUCAUGUCGAGUGAAGAAGAUAAGAAAGGAGAUGAGCUACCUGAAGAGGUUGCAGUUGCAGCAAAAAUUGAUAAAGAGGACAUUGGCGAAGUAGAGUAGUUGCCUUGUCAGAAUCUUCUUCAUCACUCGUAUCAAAAUUAUGGAACGCAAAGAGACCAUUGGAUGUGUGCUAGCAUCAGUUUUGGAGGUUGUGCGUACCACAAUGGUCUAUGGAUGUGUUGAUGUUUGGAUUACAGUCACAAAGGCUUUGAGCUGGAUGUGCGGUAUUUUGAUCAACUCGAAGUGACUAUUUAUUUUUAACUUGUGUAUUGGUUUUAUCAAAUUGCUACGAAAUGAUAUCCAGCUUACAGUUCAUGAUAAUUUUGAGCUCAGUUUUGAUGUUGUGGUCAUUGAUGGAUAUGUGAUUAUGUACUUUGGAUGACAGGAAACUUUUCAAGUCCAGGAAUACUAACAGGGAUUAUAACCAUUUAAAAUAUAAGUGUACAUCGCAUCCUAUAUAUAUGUAUACACACACAAACAUAUAUAUAUAUCAGGCUUAUAUAUAUAAAUAAUGCACAUAUAAAUUAUAUUUGUUAGAAUGUAAUUUAUAUGUUUACAGUUUC